Molecule: ribosomal RNA, 253 nt
Filed under: uncultured marine bacterium
Lineage: Bacteria
Also listed under: 2 other names
Description: partial 16S ribosomal RNA
Rfam family: Bacterial small subunit ribosomal RNA
Source: RNAcentral
UACGGAGGGUGCAAGCGUUAUCCGGAAUCAUUGGGUUUAAAGGGUCCGCAGGCGGUCAAUUAAGUCAGAGGUGAAAUCCCAUAGCUUAACUAUGGAACUGCCUUUGAUACUGGUUGACUUGAGUUAUACGGAAGUAGAUAGAAUGUGUAGUGUAGCGGUGAAAUGCAUAGAUAUUACACAGAAUACCGAUUGCGAAGGCAGUCUACUACGUAUAUACUGACGCUCAUGGACGAAAGCGUGGGGAGCGAACAGG